AUUGAACGCUGGCGGCAUGCCUUACACAUGCAAGUCGAACGGUAACGGGCCUUCGGGUGCCGACGAGUGGCGAACGGGUGAGUAAUACAUCGGAACGUGCCCGAUCGUGGGGGAUAACGAGGCGAAAGCUUUGCUAAUACCGCAUACGAUCUACGGAUGAAAGCAGGGGACCGCAAGGCCUUGCGCGGACGGAGCGGUCGAUGGCAGAUUAGGUAGUUGGUGGGCUAAAAGCUUACCAAGCCGACGAUCUGUAGCUGGUCUGAGAGGAUGAUCAGCCACACUGGGACUGAGACACGGCCCAGACUCCUACGGGAGGCAGCAGUGGGGAAUUUUGGACAAUGGGCGCAAGCCUGAUCCAGCCAUGCCGCGUGCAGGAUGAAGGCCUUCGGGUUGUAAACUGCUUUUGUACGGAACGAAAAGCCUUCUUUUAAUACAGGAGGGUCAUGACGGUACCGUAAGAAUAAGCACCGGCUAACUACGUG
RNAcentral lists this ribosomal RNA (482 nucleotides) under uncultured bacterium. RNAcentral's name for it is "partial 16S ribosomal RNA". It matches the Rfam family "Bacterial small subunit ribosomal RNA", at positions 30 to 507 of the family's 1533-position model. The record is from RNAcentral.